This 153-nucleotide ribosomal RNA is filed under the name Fusarium sp. SS-R6. Its description in RNAcentral is "partial 18S ribosomal RNA". It matches the Rfam family "Eukaryotic small subunit ribosomal RNA", at positions 1681 to 1831 of the family's 1831-position model. The record is from RNAcentral. Lineage: Eukaryota; Fungi; Ascomycota; Sordariomycetes; Hypocreales; Nectriaceae.
UUUCCCGAUUUGAUGGCUCAGUGAGGCGUCCGGACUGGCCCAGAGAGGUGGGCAACUACCACUCAGGGCCGGAAAGCUCUCCAAACUCGGUCAUUUAGAGGAAGUAAAAGUCGUAACAAGGUCUCCGUUGGUGAACCAGCGGAGGGAUCAUUA